Molecule: long non-coding RNA, 7664 nt
Filed under: Malus domestica (apple)
Lineage: Eukaryota; Viridiplantae; Streptophyta; Magnoliopsida; Rosales; Rosaceae
Description: long non-coding RNA (MDOM_LNC001443)
Source: RNAcentral
CAUUGCACAUCCAUAAAUAGAAUGUUGUUUUCAUCCAAUCCGACGGAUAUCCCAUACAUUUUUUGUGUUCCGAACCCCCUUGACGGAUAUCUCAUGCAAAAUUAAACAUUUGAACGAAAACUUGUUAUUUGUUUUUGUUAACAGACGCUUUUUAAUGCAUAUAGUGAAACACUCAAAGUACACAAAAAAAGUCUAACAAUUAUCCUGGAACAAAAACUUAUAACCAUAAAGAACUCAUCACAGUCACAAUUAAAAAAGUAAUUAAACUAAUCCCAUUACAUGAAGCACUACAUAAACUAUUCAGAGUCAGGAUUAAGCUAGCUUAGUUUGACAAAAAUAAAAAAUAAAAACUAAACUAGCUUAGCUAAUUAAGUACAAGUGUGAUCAUGAUUAAACUACUUUGCUCUUCGAAGAACAGAAAACCUGAAGAUGCACUUGGAAGUUUUCCAGUCCCAGUCAAGGUAAAGACCGAUUUCAUCAUUUUCCUUCAAGCCUCUCCGAACCAUAAACUCCGGUCUCCAACCUCCAUUCAGAACGUAAAAAUCACCAGAGUUCCAAUGCUUAAAAGUUAACUCAUGCCGGUUGCACGUAUCCCAGUCCACAACUGUAACUGUUAAGCCCUCUUUACUGUCGACCAUCUUGGCUAACUUGUCGUCCAAGUAAGACAUAACGUGUUUUUGCACUGCCUCUUUUGGCAUCAACAGCCUGCUCAGCUCUCCGAGGUCGCUCGCCGCUAGCCUUUUCCUGAUUUUCCAAAUAGAGUUGUAGUCCCAGGUCGGAUCCCACAGAUACAGAUCGGUGGAGGGUUCGUGUCCUCCGCGAGGAUCAUUCAAACUAUUGUCGAGGCCAACGCCGAACAGUCGUACUUUUGAAGGGUGGUGGUCUUCUUCUUCUAGUUUUGUUGAUGCACAAAAUCAGUGAGGACUUUGGUACAACAGAAAGUGUUAAGUUUGUGACAUUCGCUAGAUUGCUUCGGUCACUAGUAUGGAUAAGUAUGUAAAUGGAUAGAGAUAGGGAAGCAAACACAAGAUGUACGUGGUUCACCCAGAUUGGCUACGUCCACGGAGUAGAGGAGUUCUCAUUAAUUGUGAAGGGUUUACACAAGUACAUAGGUUCAAGCUCUCCUUUAGUGAGUACAAGUGAAUGAUUUAGUACAAAUGACGUUAGGAAAUAUUGUGAGAGAAUGAUCUCUAUUUAUAGAAAAGAGUUUCUAGUUUCAUUCUAAGCUUGUAGGAGCCAGGGCGAUUGAUGCCAACAACUUCAAACGGUCCAUCCCAGUUUGGACUAAGUGUUCAUUCACUCGGGACUCUAUCGCAGAGUAAUCUUUUUUUCAAUACCCAGUCCCCCACUUUGAAAGAACGAGGUUUGACCCUUGAGUCAUAGUAGUUGGAGAUGCACUGCUUGUAGGCCACAUUCCUCAAGUGAGCCUGGUUUCUGUGUUCCUCGACUAGAUCUAAGUUGAGGGUAAGUUGUUUGUCAUUUUCUCUUUGCACGUAGUUUUGGACUCGGAACGUUGCUUGCUCAAGCUCAACUGGGACAACUGCCUCUGUACCAAAGGCAAGUGAGAAUGAGGUUUCUCCUGUUGAUGUCUGAUAUGAAGUGUGGUAUGACCAAAGAACUUGGGGUACAAAUUAUGGCCAACAACCUUUAGCCUUGUCUAAGCUGGUUUUCAAAGUUCGCUUGAUUAUUUUGUUGAUAGCUUUAACUUGUCCAUUAGACUGGGGAUGAGCUGGGGAGGCAAAACAUAAGUUGAUGUUGAACUUAGAGCAGACCAUCUUGAACAUAUUGUUGUCGAACUGUCGCCCGUUGUCAGUGACUAUCGCAUUGGGAAUGCCGAAUCUGCAGAGGAUGUUCUUCCAUACGAAGUCUUCUAUUUUUGCCUCAGUAAUAGUUGCCAAGGGUUUUACUUCAGCCCACUUUGUGAAGUAGUCAACUGCAACGAUUGCAUAGCAAACUUUGCCCUUCCCUGCAGGCAUUGGGCCGAUCAAAUCAAGUCCCCAUUGGGCGAAUAGCCAAGGGCUGAUCAUAGGAGUGAGCGGCUCGGGAGGGGAGUGAGGAAUAGUUAUGUAGCGUUUACACUUAUCACAUAAGCGGGAUAUUCUGGCAUCUUGGUGGAGUGUUGGCUAGUAAUAUCCUUGGCGAAAAGCCUUGUGUGCUAGGGAUCGAGAUCCAGCAUGAUCUCCGCAGACUCCUUCAUGUAUUUCCCAAAUGACAAUUUCUGCCUCUGCGGGCGUAAGGCAUCUUAGGUAUGGUAGGCUAAAACCCCGCUUGUAGAGUUGGUCAUUAAUGAUCAAGUAACAGGUAGCCUUGUAUUGAAUUUGCUUAGCUUGGACUUUGUCAUUUGGAAGGGUGCCAUGAGUAAGGAAUCUAUAAAUUGGGGUAAUCCAACUAUCCCCCUGUUGUAAGUUGCACACUUCCGCAACCAUUGUGCUUGGUGUUGCCAACAAUUCGACCUGAAUUUUUCUCCCAAUCUUGUCUUCCACCGCUGAGGCGAGGCGAGCCAAAACAUCUGCAUGACUGUUUGCCGCUCGAGGAAUUUGGGUGAUCUGGUAGUGGAAGUGCUUGAGCAACAAUUGUGUUUGUGCCAGAUAUGCUGCCAUGGAGCUAUUCUUAGCGUCAAAGUUGUUGGUGACCUGGUUAACCACCAAUUGGGAGUUACUGAAGAUAUCAAUUCGUUUAACCCCAAGGUGUUUGGCUAAACGUAAGCCUGCUAGGAGGGCUUCAUAUUCGGCCUCAUUGUUCGACGCCUUGAAUGUGAAACGAAGAGCAUACUCCAUUACCACUUUGUCAGGGGUCGUAAGGACUAGUCCUGCUCCACAACCAUGUUGGUUGGACGAGCCAUCAACAUAUAGGCUCCAUGCUGGGGCUGUUGGUUCUGUUUUCUGAGCUUCCGAGGGUAAUGAAACCACUUAUUUAGGCGUAGAAACAAUGUGAACAAGAUAAGUGAAGUCAGCGAUGAAGUCUGCUACUGCUUGGCCCUUCUCAGCUGGCUUUGGUUGGUAGGAGAUGUCAAAGUCACCCAAUGCUAUCGCCCAUUUGAUCAUUCGCCCGGAAGUGUCAGGACUUUGGAGUAUCUGUCGAAGAGGAUGAUUGGUAAGCACGAUGAUGGAGUGUGCUUGGAAGUAAGGGCGAAGUUUUCGAGCAGACAUGACCAAUGCUAGAGCCAAUUUCUCAAUGUUGGAGUAUCGUGUCUCUGCAUCUUGUAAGGCCUUGCUAGCAUAGUAGACAAGUCGUUCGACAUUACCAUCCUUUCAAAUGAAAACGGAACUUACUGCUGAAGCCGACACCGACAAAUAGAUAAUGAAGGUGUCACCAACCUCAGGUUUGGAGAGCAGAGGGGCUUUACUCAUGUAGUCUUUGAGGUUCUUGAAUGCCUCAGCACAUUCAUCAGUCCAUGUAAUGUACUUCUUACUUCCCUUAAGUGCUUUGAAGAAAGGAGCACAUCUGUCUGUGGCCUUAGAGAUGAACCUAGUUAAGGCUGCUACCUUGCCAGUAAGGCUUUGGAUGUCUUUUAAAGUUACCGGUUCCUUCAUGUUGAGAAUUGCUUUGAUCUUCUCGGGAUUAGCCUCAAUGCCUCAUUGACUUAUCAUGAAGCCUAAGAAUUUGCCAGAGCCUAUGCCGAAGGCACAUUUGUUGGGGUUCAACCUUAUUCGAUACCUCUUCAGAAUGGUGAAAGUUUCAGAUAGGUUGGUGAUGUGUUGGUCAGCAUGUUUGCUCUUAACUAGCAUAUCAUCAACGUAAAUAUCCAUGCUCUUCCCAAUCUGUUCGGCGAACAUUGAAUUGACUAGUCUCUGAUAAGUCGCUCCUGCAUUCUUUAGGCCGAAGGGCAUGACCUUAUAGCAAUAUAGUCCCCUGUCAGUAAUGAAGGCUGUGUGUUCUUGGUCUGGAGGGUUCAUGAGGAUUUAGUUGUAUCCUGAGUAAGCAUCCAUGAAGCUCAAGAGUUCACACCCUGUUGUAGAGUCUAUAAGUCUGUCUAUGAGAGGAAGAGGAAAGCUAUCAUUCGGGUAUCCUUUGUUUAGGUCGGUGUAAUCAACACACAUUCUCCGCAAUACAUUUUGGAGCAGGAGACUUUCCUUGGUCAAAUUUUUCUUAACAAGGACAACAUUUGCUAAUCACGUUGGAUAAUUGACUUCGCGGACGAAGCUUACGCCUUUGAGUUUUUCAACUUCUGCCUUCAUUGCCUCGUACCGUUCAGCCUCAUAGGAUCUUCGCUUCUGUCUCACUAGCUUAGUCUUAGGGUUAAUACUUAAGCAAUGACAGAUGAUAUCGGGAGAGAUGCCUGGCAUGUCCUCGUAUGACCAGGCGAAGACCUCAGUGUUCUCUUGCAAAAAAGAGAUCAAUGCCAACCGAAUGGGUGGUGACAAGGUGGUGCCAAUCUUCACCAUGCGAUCCGGAUAAUCUUUUGAGAUAGAGACCUCUCUAACUCUUCAACGAGUUGUGCUUGCUAGGUGAAAGAGUCAUCUCGAGGAUCGUCGGGUUGACUGUUGCCACCAUGAAGAUCUAAGUUGGCUUCGUCUGGGCUGGUUUUUAUGACUUGGUCAUGUAUAGAAAGGGUUUCCUUGGGCACAUGCAGGUGUUGUUGCUUGACCGAAGUGUUGUAACAUGAUCGUGCACUAAGUUGAUCUCCUCUGAUGUAACCAUUGCCAUAGGGGUUGGAAAUUUCAUCAACAACAUAUGUGUGGAUACCAUGGCCUUGAGAUCAUUGAUGCAUGUGCGUCCCAAGAUGACAUUGUAUGCCCUUGGGCAAUCAACCACCAGGAAGUUAGUGGUAAUGGUAGUUGUGUAAGGGCAUGGACCAAUGGUGAAAGGUAAGUGUAUGCUCCUCAAAUGUUGCACGAUAUCACCGGAGAAGCUUAUCAGAGGGGAAAUCAAGCGAUCGAGCAAGUGUUCAGCUAUAUUAAGUGCCCUGAAAGCUUCGGCAAACAUGAUAUUGACCGAAGCCCCCAUGUCUACCAGGAUUCGUCGUACUUCAAAGUUGGCUAUGUGAGCUUCCACGAUCAGUGGGUCAUUGUGAGGGUAGAUGAUACCUCUUUCUUCCUCAGGGUAGAAACAUAUUGGAUCCCAGUUAGGCUUUUGAUGCUUGCAUCCCCUGAUGUCUUCCACGUGAAACACUUGGUGGCCAGACCUUAAAUCUCGUUCACUAUUUUUCAUGGCCCUGUUGGAAGAUUUAGAUCUGGGUGUGCCACCACUUAUGGAAUAUAUCACAUUCACCUGGCGUUGGUUACAGUUACCCCUUGGAGGGUGAAAGAGGAAUUGAUCAAUUUUUCCUUCAAGUGCCAAAGCUUUAAUAUGAUCACGAAGGGUGAUACACUUCUCGCCGUCAUGGCCGUUAUACUCGUGGUAGCAGCAAAACGUGCCCAUGUUCUUCGUGGACUUGUAAUCCGGGUGCCUCGACUUUGGCUUCGAUAUCAGGUGUGCUAUAUUGGAGUAAAUGGCCACACAUGUGGCGUUCAAAGGUGUGUAUGCCUCAUACCUCGGGGUAGGGGCUGUCCUGACAUGUGUUUGACCCACUGUGUUGACUGCAUGGGGUCGGGGAUUAUCGUGGUGAUACCCUUGGUUAUCGCGGUAGUGUCCCUUACUUCUUUUACUAAAAUGAGACUGGUGAGGAUGGAAAUCUUUCCUUUUGCCCUGAGAUUGAUAUGUCUGUUGACUUGGCAAAGUAUUAAGUAAGGCAGGGGGAGGCACUACUGUCGUUUGGAAGGUCGAGGUCUUCUCAUUUGGUUGGAUCUGGCUUCCACUCCCUACUUGCUGAUAAGGGGUGGUUGUGGGGGGUUUCCUUUGAUAUGUCCUUGCCUCGGCGGAUGCAUGGUUGUAAGCCUGUGCCAACACCUCAGAGUAAGUCUUUCAAGUGUUGGCAUUGAUCAUGUACUUGAAGAAACAAUCACGUAAGCCUGCCGUGAAGGCCUUAAGGGCGGUCUUGUCAUCUGCCUCAGCGCAGCGAGAAUACUCAUGGCUGAAGUGACCGGCAUACUCUCGUAGUGACUCGUCCGGCUUCUGGCGAAUAGUGUACAAGUCAUCUGCAGAAUGCAAGCGAUCGGUCUGGAAAUGUGUUGAGAAACAAACAGUUUCCUCAAUUCCUCAAAUGAGUCUACCGUCUCAGGUGGAAGAUGACAAUACCAGUUUAGAGCUCCGCCAGAGAGGACAGAGGGGAAGAGAAGACAUCGCUCUUCGUUGGUGUGCAUCUGGUAUGCCAUGGUGGACUCAAAGAGGUUAAAAUGUUCAAUCGGGUUCUCAUUUCCAGUAUAGAGUUGCAAGCCAAGCUUCUGCUUUGUCUUUGCUUGGAGGGGGUUGUCGAAGAUCCUCCUUGUAAGAGGGCCAGGCCUAGGUUGGUUCCAAUCAGGUAUCUCAGCUUGUCGUUCGGCCUUCAACUUGUUUACUUCCUUAAGAAGCUGUAGGACAAGAGAGUCAUGAGUGGAGUCAUGUACCACUGGAGCUUUCUUUCGUAAAUCUUCAUCUCCUCUUGGAAGUAGGAAGGUUUGAUCAAGAGCAUGUGAUUUUUUCCUGGACUCGCCGUACUGACUUUCAAGGUAUGUAUGUCGAAACAUCUUUGAGUCCCUUAUACCUUCGUGUUUCUCUAGGACUUGUUGCCCCUUCCCCAAAUUGGUAGCCGGCCUGGGACGUGGGAGGGGACCUAGUCUUUCAGAAACCCUUGGGUCAUUGAUCUUCGAGCUUAUGUGGAGGGGAUUCUCUCGACGUUGCUUUAGGAAGUCUCGGCAGUCACGAUAAACGGCUUUCAAUCCUUCCAACCUUUCUGCAAGAAGGUGUCUUCCUCCACUUUUCCUGCUUCAGGUCGAAGCAGCUGGGUUGAGAGAAGUCUCAUGUUGAUCAAUGUUUUGAUGAUUAACUCGCUCCUCAUCAGGGAUACCCAUGUUGAAGGAAGGUGACCCUCCUUAUUGGGAGGCAUCUAGAUGAUGGUUGAUGUCCACAGAGGUAACAAGUUCGCGUGUUUGAGUACGCCUAAUUCUUGGAGCAUCUCAAAGAGAUUCUCAUACUGCUCCUGAAGGACCUCAUUCUUCAUUGCUAUCUUGUUGUUUUGUGAUUCUAGCUCAUCGACUUUAGCUUGAAGAGCAACCCUCUUUCCUUCCUUAUUUCGUUGUUUCGCACUAGGUGCAAGAGGGAUGUCAUCCUGUGUGUUGUGGCUUCCUUCGCUCCCCAUGUUGGAGAGGGAUGCCUGGUCAAAAGAGAGUGUACGAAUGGUGGAAACCAGCUUAACAAAGUUGAAGAGAGUGAGAAUAAGUGUCGUUCCCACAAACGGCGCCAAAUGUUGAUGCACAACAUCAGUGAGGACUUUGGUACAACAGAAAAUGUUAAGUUUGUGACCUUCGCUAGAUUGCUCCGGUCACUAGUAUGGAUAAGUAUGUAAAUGGAUAGAGAUAGGGAAGCAAACACAAGAUGUACGUGGUUCACCCAGAUUGGCUACGUUCACGGAGUAGAGGAGUUCUCAUUAAUUGUGAAGGGUUUACACAAGUACAUAGGUUCAAGCUCUCCUUUAGUGAGUACAAGUGAAUGAUUUAGUACAAAUGAUAUUAGGAAAUAUUGUGAGAGAAUGAUCUCUAUUUAUAGAAGAGAGUUUCUAGUUUCAUUCUGACAUUGACACGUGUCGUGUUGUGAUUGGCUUAUGAUGUUAACACGUGUCGCGCUAUGAUUGGCUUCUGAUGUCGACA